AUUUAUAUAGUAUAAAAAGUAUACGUGACUUCCAAUCACGAGGUUUAAAUAUUUUUAAUAUAAAUA
RNAcentral lists this transfer RNA (66 nucleotides) under Chironomus circumdatus. RNAcentral describes it as "tRNA-Gly". Lineage: Eukaryota; Metazoa; Arthropoda; Insecta; Diptera; Chironomidae. The record is from RNAcentral. RNAcentral also lists the same sequence under 1 other name.